AAUGAACGCUGGCGGCAUGCCUAACACAUGCAAGUCGAACGAACCCUCCGGGACUUGUGUCGUCCGGGUGUGUCACGCGUCGGAACAUGCACUUAGGUUUGACCUAACUCUCCGACUGGGGUGCUAAUACCGGACAAUAUCUUAUGCCCAAAGAUUUAUUGCCUUUGGAUGGGCACGCGUUGGAUUAGCUAGUUGGUAGGGUAAUAGCCUACCAAGGCGACCAUCCAUAGCUGGUCUGAGAGGAUGAUCAGCCACACUGGGACUGAGACACGGCCCAGACUCCUACGGGAGGCAGCAGUGGGGAAUAUUGGACAAUGGGCGAAAGCCUGAUCCAGCAAUGCCGCGUGAGUGAUGAAGGCCUUAGGGUUGUAAAGCUCUUUUACCCGGGAUGAUAAUGACAGUACCGGGAGAAUAAGCUCCGGCUAACUCCGUG
RNAcentral lists this ribosomal RNA (433 nucleotides) under uncultured bacterium. RNAcentral's name for it is "partial 16S ribosomal RNA". It matches the Rfam family "Bacterial small subunit ribosomal RNA", at positions 29 to 507 of the family's 1533-position model. The record is from RNAcentral.